CCCUUAGAUGUUCUGGGCCGCACGCGCGCUACACUGAUGCAUUCAACGAGCCUAUCCUUGACCGACAGGUCCGGGUAAUCUUUGAAUCUGCAUCGUGACGGGGAUAGAUUAUUGCAAUUAUUAAUCUUCAACGAGGAAUGCCUAGUAGGCGCAAGUCAUCAGCUUGCGUCGAUUACGUCUCUGCCCUUUGUACACACCGCCCGUCGCUCCUACCGAUGGGGUGUGCUGGUGAAAUGUUCGGAUCGGCCGUUUGUCGCGGUUUCCGCGGCUCGUGGCUGAGAAGUUCAUUAAACCCUCCCACCUAGAGGAAGGAGAAGUCGUAACA
This 325-nucleotide ribosomal RNA is filed under the name uncultured eukaryote. RNAcentral describes it as "partial 18S ribosomal RNA". It matches the Rfam family "Eukaryotic small subunit ribosomal RNA", at positions 1470 to 1796 of the family's 1831-position model. The record is from RNAcentral.